UACGUAGGUGGCGAGCGUUGUCCGGAUUCACUGGGCGUAAAGAGCGCGCAGGCGGCUGGUCAAGUCCGAUGUGAAAGCUCCCGGCUUAACUGGGAAAUUGCAUCGGAAACUGAUCGGCUGGAAGGUGGGAGAGGGUAGCGGAAUUCCCGGUGUAGUGGUGAAAUGCGUAGAUAUCGGGAGGAACACCAGUGGCGAAAGCGGCUACCUGGCCCAUUCUUGACGCUGAGGAACGAAAGCUAGGGGAGCGAAUGGG
This 253-nucleotide ribosomal RNA is filed under the name uncultured bacterium. Its description in RNAcentral is "partial 16S ribosomal RNA". It matches the Rfam family "Bacterial small subunit ribosomal RNA", at positions 524 to 776 of the family's 1533-position model. The record is from RNAcentral.